Necator americanus (New World hookworm) is the source of this 80-nucleotide non-coding RNA. NCBI's taxonomy places the organism in Eukaryota, Metazoa, Nematoda, Chromadorea, Rhabditida, Ancylostomatidae. The record is from Rfam.
GGAGAGAUGUCUGAGUGGUUAGGGAUUAGGUAGAAAUUAAUUGGCCCCUUCCCCCGCAGGUUCAAAUCCUGUUCUCUGCU